UACGAAGGGGGCUAGCGUUGUUCGGAAUUACUGGGCGUAAAGCGUGCGCAGGCGGUUCGUGAUGUCUGGUGUGAAAGCCCCGGGCUUAACCUGGGAAUUGCAUUGGAAACUAGCGGGCUGGAGUGUGGCAGAGGGGGGUGGAAUUCCACGUGUAGCAGUGAAAUGCGUAGAGAUGUGGAGGAACACCGAUGGCGAAGGCGGAUCUCUGGGCCAUUACUGACGCUGAGGAGCGAAAGCGUGGGGAGCGAACUGG
RNAcentral lists this ribosomal RNA (253 nucleotides) under uncultured bacterium. RNAcentral describes it as "partial 16S ribosomal RNA". It matches the Rfam family "Bacterial small subunit ribosomal RNA", at positions 524 to 776 of the family's 1533-position model. The record is from RNAcentral.